RNAcentral lists this ribosomal RNA (253 nucleotides) under uncultured prokaryote. Its description in RNAcentral is "partial 16S ribosomal RNA". It matches the Rfam family "Bacterial small subunit ribosomal RNA", at positions 525 to 777 of the family's 1533-position model. The record is from RNAcentral.
ACGAAGGGGGCUAGCGUUGUUCGGAAUCACUGGGCGUAAAGGGCGCGUAGGCGGCUUUAUAAGUCGGGGGUGAAAGCCUGUGGCUCAACCACAGAAUUGCCUUCGAUACCGUAGAGCUUGAGACCGGAAGAGGUAAGUGGAACUGCGAGUGUAGAGGUGAAAUUCGUAGAUAUUGGGAAGAACACCGGUGGCGAAGGCGGCGACCUGGUCCUUGACUGACGCUGAGGCGCGAAAGCGUGGGGAGCAAACAGGA